Molecule: ribosomal RNA, 377 nt
Filed under: uncultured delta proteobacterium
Lineage: Bacteria; Deltaproteobacteria
Description: bacterial SSU rRNA
Rfam family: Bacterial small subunit ribosomal RNA
Source: RNAcentral
UAAUACGGAGGGCGCGAGCGUUGUUCGGAAUCAUUGGGCGUAAAGCGGGUGUAGGCGGCUUGACAAGUUGGGUGUGAAAGCCCUGGGCUCAACCCAGGAAAUGCACUCAAAACUGUUUCGCUAGAGUCCCGGAGAGGGUGGCGGAAUUCCCGGUGUAGAGGUGAAAUUCGUAGAUAUCGGGAGGAACACCAGUGGCGAAGGCGGCCACCUGGACGGUGACUGACGCUCAGACCCGAAAGCGUGGGGAGCGAACAGGAUUAGAUACCCUGGUAGUCCACGCCGUAAACGUUGGGUGCUCGACGUAGCGGGUAUUGACCCCUGCUGUGUCCAAGCUAACGCGAGAAGCACCCCGCCUGGGGAGUACGGUCGCAAGGCUA